Molecule: ribosomal RNA, 651 nt
Filed under: Malassezia arunalokei
Lineage: Eukaryota; Fungi; Basidiomycota; Malasseziomycetes; Malasseziales; Malasseziaceae
Description: eukaryotic LSU rRNA
Rfam family: Eukaryotic large subunit ribosomal RNA
Source: RNAcentral
AGUUUGCAUAUCAAUAAGCGGAGGAAAAGAAACUAACAAGGAUUCCCCUAGUAACGGCGAGCGAAGCGGGAAGAGCUCAAAUUUGAAAGCUGGCGUCUUCGGCGUCCGCGUUGUAAUCUCGAGACGUGUUUUCCGUGCGGCUCUAUGGACAAGUCCCUUGGAACAGGGCAUCGUAGAGGGUGAAAAUCCCGUACUUGCCAUGGAAGUACCGUGCUUUGUGAUACACGCUCCAAGAGUCGAGUAGUUUGGGAUUGCUGCUCAAAGUGGGUGGUAGACUCCAUCUAAAGCUAAAUAUCGGGGAGAGACCGAUAGCGAACAAGUACCGUGAGGGAAAGAUGAAAAGCACUUUGGAAAGAGAGUUAAAAGUACGUGAAAUUGUCGAAAGGGAAGCACUUGAAGUCAGCCAUGCUGCUUGAGACUCAGCCUGGCUUUUGCUUGGUGUAUUUCUCGGUAGCAAGCCAGCAUUGGUUUGUGUCGUCGGAGAAGCGCAUGGGGAAUGUGGCAUCCUCGGAUGUGUUAUAGCCCUGUGCAGGAUACGACGACGUAGACCAAGGAACGCAGUGUGCCCUCUGGGCGGGUCUUCGGACACCUUCACACUUAGGAUGCUGGCGUAAUGGCUUUAAGUGGCCCGUCUUGAAACACGGAACCACU